UUACAGUGAUGCCGACAAGGUGGCCGGAGACGGUCCUAGAGGGAAUGCGGUAAGAAGCCGCAGCGGUCCCGCCACUGUAUUUGGGAACGAAAGCCGCAAGUAAGCCACUGUGCCCUUCCGGGGGCAUGGGAAGACGCGGCCGGUAGGUCAUACCCAAGAGCCAGGAGACCUGCCUUGUUGGUAGCCCAUGA
Molecule: non-coding RNA, 191 nt
Filed under: Desulfocarbo indianensis
Lineage: Bacteria; Pseudomonadati; Thermodesulfobacteriota; Desulfarculia; Desulfarculales; Desulfarculaceae
Source: RNAcentral